CAUGGCCUUUAGCUAAACAAGUAUUAAAGGUCCUGCCUGCCCAGUGAACACACAUUCAACGGCCGCGGUAUCCUAACCGUGCAAAGGUAGCGUAAUCAUUUGUCCCCUAAAUAGGGACUUGUAUGAACGGCUAAAUGAGGGCCCACCUGUCUCCUUUGGCCCCCCAAUGAAACUGAUCUUCUAGUCCAAAAGCUAGAAUAAAUACAUAAGACGAGAAGACCCUGUGGAGCUUUAAACACACCCCGCCAGCAACCUGCCCAGCGACAUUUGUUUUAAGUUGGGGCGACUACGGAGUAAACAAAACCUCCAUGAACUAGGCUAACCACCCAACAGGCACACAUGCCAAAAAUUGACCCAGUACUACUGACUAACGAACCAAGUUACCCCAGGGAUAACAGCGCAAUCCCCUUAAAGAGUCCCUAUCGCUAAGGGGGCUUACGACCUCGAUGUUGGAUCAGGACACCCAGGCGGCGCAGCCACUGCUAAAGGUUCGUUUGUUCAACGAUUAAAGUCCUACGUGAUCUGAGU
This 528-nucleotide ribosomal RNA is filed under the name Cnemaspis mahabali. RNAcentral describes it as "partial large subunit ribosomal RNA". It matches the Rfam family "Bacterial large subunit ribosomal RNA", at positions 1814 to 2610 of the family's 2925-position model. The record is from RNAcentral. Lineage: Eukaryota; Metazoa; Chordata; Lepidosauria; Squamata; Gekkonidae.